This 127-nucleotide small RNA is filed under the name Marmota monax (woodchuck). Lineage: Eukaryota; Metazoa; Chordata; Mammalia; Rodentia; Sciuridae. The record is from RNAcentral.
GCUGGGCAGGGUGGCGCACGUCUGUAAUCCCAGUGGCUGGGGAGACUGAGGCAGGUGGAUCAUAAGUUCAAAGCCAGCCUCAGCAACUUAGUGAGGCCCUAAGCAACUUAGUGAGACCCUGUCUCUA